AUGAACGCUAGCUACAGGCUUAACACAUGCAAGUCGAGGGGCAGCAUGGUCGAAGCUUGCUUCGACUGAUGGCGACCGGCGCACGGGUGCGUAACGCGUAUCGAACCUGCCCUGUACACGGGGAUAGCCUUGCGAAAGUAAGAUUAAUACCCGAUGCCAAGUUGAGAUCGCAUGAUUUUGAUUUGAAAGAAAUUCGGUAUGAGAUGGGCCCGCGGCGCAUUAGCUAGUUGGUGAGGUAACGGCUCACCAAGGCGACGAUGCGUAGCCGACCUGAGAGGGUGAUCGGCCACAUUGGGACUGAGACACGGCCCAGACUCCUACGGGAGGCAGCAGUGGGGAAUAUUGGUCAAUGGGCGAGAGCCUGAACCAGCCAAGUAGCGUGCAGGACGACGGCCCUAUGGGUUGUAAACUGCUUUUAUAAGGGAAUAAAGUGAGUCUCGUGAGACUUUUUGCAUGUACCUUAUGAAUAAGGACCGGCUAAUUCCGUG
RNAcentral lists this ribosomal RNA (488 nucleotides) under uncultured bacterium. Its description in RNAcentral is "bacterial SSU rRNA". It matches the Rfam family "Bacterial small subunit ribosomal RNA", at positions 29 to 507 of the family's 1533-position model. The record is from RNAcentral.